RNAcentral lists this ribosomal RNA (354 nucleotides) under Triticum aestivum (bread wheat). Its description in RNAcentral is "partial small subunit ribosomal RNA". Lineage: Eukaryota; Viridiplantae; Streptophyta; Magnoliopsida; Poales; Poaceae. The record is from RNAcentral.
GGGAAGUAAGGAGGGCAAAUGAAGCUCAGUUGGGUCUCGUGGAGCAUGAUGACAAGGCCCAAGCAUUGUGGAGGACUAGGUUCCGAUAUUGAGCUUUUUAAUCUUGCACUACUUGCUAGGCAGGCUUGGCGCAUACUAGUGGAACCGAAUUCUUUGAGCGCAAGGGUCUCGAAAGCAAAGUACUUUCUCUCUUGUGAUUUCCUGCUGGUAGAGCUAGGGGGUGCGCCGUCGCAAAUUUGGAGAGUUGUCCUAGAUGGACGAGACACCCGAAAGUAGGGCACGAUUCGGCGGAUUAGUGAUGGACAUUCACAAAUAUUUGGCAGCACAACUGGAUUCCCCGCCCAUCCUACAUGA